GAUGAACGCUGGCGGCGUGCCUAAUACAUGCAAGUCGAGCGAACAGACGAGGAGCUUGCUCCUCUGACGUUAGCGGCGGACGGGUGAGUAACACGUGGAUAACCUACCUAUAAGACUGGGAUAACUUCGGGAAACCGGAGCUUAUACCGGAUAAUAUAUUGAACCGCAUGGUUCAAUAGUGAAAGACGGUUUUGCUGUCUCUUAUAGAUGGAUCCGCGCCGCAUUAGCUAGUUGUUAAGUUAACGGCUUACCACGGCAACGAUGCGUAGCCGACCUGAGAGGGUGAUCGGCCACACGGGAACUGAGACACGGUCCAGACUCCUACGGGAGGCAGCAGUAGGGAAUCUUCCGCAAUGGGCGAAAGCCUGACGGAGCAACGCCGCGUGAGUGAUGAAGGUCUUCGGAUCGUAAAACUCUGUUAUUAGGGAAGAACAAAUGUGUAAGUAACUAUGCACGUCUUGACGGUACCUAAUCAGAAAGCCACGGCUAACUACGUG
Molecule: ribosomal RNA, 497 nt
Filed under: uncultured bacterium
Lineage: Bacteria
Description: partial 16S ribosomal RNA
Rfam family: Bacterial small subunit ribosomal RNA
Source: RNAcentral